AGACAUUUAAAAAAAUAUCUAUAUAUAUCAACUAUUAUGUUCCCAAGAAGAAAGUCAGUUGUAUAGAUUUGGAAAAUCACAAGAGCGUGUAAAAGAUUCACUCUUAAUCUCACUUCUUUGAUUCUGCUUCACAGUUGCUUUAAUUCCUCCAUCAGAAGCUGUUAAAAUCACAAACUGUGGAGGUUUGUGGUUUGUUGGAAGGCAUGAGGAGUCUUCAGUGAGUCAGUGUUUGUGGUUGUUUGGAGGGUUAAAAGUGCAGGAGGGUGGGCAGCUUCAGGCUCCAGCAGUCUCGUAGCCCAGGAGACGCAGAGGAUGGAGGAGUAGGCCGCUGGGAUGCAUGCUCGCUUCUGUAGAGGCUGUGGGUGUGGAGAUCCCACAGGAACAUUGUUCAUAGCGAUCAACUGUGGAACCUGCUGAGACCCUGAAAGUGAGACGCAACUUUUGGAUGAAGUGAAACUUUAAUGAACGUUAUACUUACAGCAAAAGAAUUACGUAAGUAGAUUUCUUCUUUACUUUAAUGAGUCAAAGAUGAAGAAAUCUAGAUGUGAGAACAUAACACGUCUACUAAUACAUCUAAUAUAACAUAGAGUCUCUGUAAAAAAAUGCAUUUAUAUCCAUGAGGGGAAAAAUAUUUUUGUUUUCUGUAGUGUUACACAUAAAAAAAGUGCAAUGCAACAAUGCUCACAAGUUCACAGUUUCACGUGGCGGUUCACGUGCAGGGUUUUGCACUUUCACAAUGCAGUUGAUGAAUUGUGCAGCUUUACCAACAUGCCACAGCACCAUUAAAGAGACUUUGUUUAAAAGUGUGCCAUUUUUUUUCAACCAUCUCUUAUUAAGGUUACGGUCCCUAAUCAGCGGCUUACAAUCAGAUGGGUUUCUCCUGUCAGUUGUAAGGCUAUUGUUCACACCAAUUGUUAUGACAUGCUCACACAGAGAUGCUAUUAUGGGCUUGCUUUAUCCAUUUUAUCCCUGUUUGUCGCUAACAACAGGAAUUAAGCAGCUUUAUCCGGCCAGGUCAGGCCAGGCCAAAGUGACUAAGCUGUAG
Long non-coding RNA from Cyprinus carpio carpio, 1045 nucleotides. The record is from Ensembl. NCBI's taxonomy places the organism in Eukaryota, Metazoa, Chordata, Actinopteri, Cypriniformes, Cyprinidae.